UACGUAGGGGGCAAGCGUUGUCCGGAAUUAUUGGGCGUAAAGAGCUCGUAGGCGGUGUGUCGCGUCGACCGUGAAAACCUGCAGCUUAACUGUGGGCGUGCGGUCGAUACGGGCAUCACUGGAGUUCGGCAGGGGAGACUGGAAUUCCUGGUGUAGCGGUGAAAUGCGCAGAUAUCAGGAGGAACACCGGUGGCGAAGGCGGUCAACUGGCCCUAAACUGACGCUCAUGCACGAAAGCGUGGGGAUCAAACAGG
Molecule: ribosomal RNA, 254 nt
Filed under: uncultured bacterium
Lineage: Bacteria
Description: partial 16S ribosomal RNA
Rfam family: Bacterial small subunit ribosomal RNA
Source: RNAcentral